GACGAACGCUGGCGGCGUGCUUAACACAUGCAAGUCGAACGGUGAAGCGCCUUCCUUUUUGGUGGGUGUGGAUGAGUGGCGAACGGGUGAGUAACACGUGAGUAACCUGCCCCCUUCUUCUGGAUAACCGCAUGAAAGUGUGGCUAAUACGGGAUAUUCUGGGUCUGUCGCAUGAUGGGUCUGGGAAAGAUAUUGUUUCGGUGGGGGAUGGGCUCGCGGCCUAUCAGCUUGUUGGUGGGGUGAUGGCCUACCAAGGCGGUGACGGGUAGCCGGCCUGAGAGGGUGGACGGUCACACUGGGACUGAGACACGGCCCAGACUCCUACGGGAGGCAGCAGUGGGGAAUAUUGCACAAUGGGCGCAAGACUGAUGCAGCGACGCCGCGUGAGGGAUGGAGGCCUUCGGGUUGGGAACCUCUUUCGCCAGUGAAGCAGGCCUGCCUCGUUUGUGGGUGGGUUGACGGUAGCUGGAUAAGAAGCGCCGGCUAACUACGU
Molecule: ribosomal RNA, 493 nt
Filed under: uncultured bacterium
Lineage: Bacteria
Description: partial 16S ribosomal RNA
Rfam family: Bacterial small subunit ribosomal RNA
Source: RNAcentral